This is a long non-coding RNA of Myotis brandtii (Brandt's bat), 690 nucleotides long. RefSeq lists it as uncharacterized. The record is from RefSeq and is a predicted model, not a curated record. The transcript is spliced from 5 exons. NCBI's taxonomy places the organism in Eukaryota, Metazoa, Chordata, Mammalia, Chiroptera, Vespertilionidae.
CAGAUGUAGGUCAUGGUGAUGGAGGACCCGGGGCAGACAUAGAGCGUGGUGAUGGAGGACCUGGGGCAGAUGUAGAGAGUGGUGAUGGAGGACUUGGGGCAGACCUAGAGCGUGGUGCUGGAGGACCUGGGGCAGAUGUAGAGCGUGGUGAUGGAGGACCUGGGGCAGAUGUAGAGAGUGGUGAUGGAGGACUUGGGGCAGACCUAGAGCGUGGUGCUGGAGGACCUGGGGCAGAUGUAGAGCGUGGUGAUGGAGGACCUGGGGCAGAUGUAGAGAGUGGUGAUGGAGGACUUGGGGCAGACCUAGAGCGUGGUGCUGGAGGACCUGGGGCAGAUGUAGGUCAUGGUGAUGGAGGACCCGGGGCAGACAUAGAGCGUGGUGAUGGAGGACCUGGGGCAGAUGUAGAGAGUGGUGAUGGAGGACUUGGGGCAGACCUAGAGCGUGGUGCUGGAGGACCUGGGGCAGAUGUAGAGCGUGGUGAUGGAGGACCUGGGGCAGAUGUAGAGAGUGGUGAUGGAGGACUUGGGGCAGACCUAGAGCGUGGUGCUGGAGGACCUGGGGCAGAUGUAGAGCGUGGUGAUGGAGGACCUGGGGCAGACGUAGAGUGUGUUGAUGGAGGACCUGGGGUAGACCUAGAGCGUGGUGAUGGAGGACCUGGGGCAGACCUAGAGCAUGGUGAUGGAGGACCUG